AGUGGCGAACGGGUGAGUAAUGCUUGGGAAUCUGCCCAGUAGUGGGGGACAACUCGGGGAAACUCGAGCUAAUACCGCAUACGCCCUACGGGGGAAAGCGGGGGAUCUUCGGACCUCGCGCUAUUGGAUGAGCCCAAGUCGGAUUAGCUUGUAGGUGGGGUAACGGCCUACCUAGGCUACGAUCCGUAGCUGGUCUGAGAGGACGAUCAGCCACACUGGGACUGAGACACGGCCCAGACUCCUACGGGAGGCAGCAGUGGGGAAUAUUGGACAAUGGGGGCAACCCUGAUCCAGCAAUGCCGCGUGUGUGAAGAAGGCCUGCGGGUUGUAAAGCACUUUCAGUAGAGACGAAAAGCCUAAGGUUAAUACCCUUGAGUCUUGACUUGACCUACAGAAGAAGCACCGGCUAACUCCGUGCCAGCAGCCGCGGUAACACGGAGGGUGCAAGCGU
Molecule: ribosomal RNA, 451 nt
Filed under: uncultured bacterium
Lineage: Bacteria
Description: bacterial SSU rRNA
Rfam family: Bacterial small subunit ribosomal RNA
Source: RNAcentral